CUCUCUCUCUAUCUCCCUCCGUCUUUUGUAGGAGCGAGUUAGCGGAGGGGUCUUGGUGGCAGAUGGGCAGGAGUAUCAGGGAUUGACUAAUCCCAAAUCUGCCGUCUCCUCACCACACCGAAACCAGGGGAGAGGCACGAGCCAGCUGCCACAUAGACGCCUUUCAUGCUCGUCUGCACACAACAGCUGCAGCAGGCCUGCCUGCUUGCUUCUAAAUUAUUAAACAUCUUUUUAGUUUGUUCCAGAUGCAGAGCCCGAUGUGCUUAUGGAGGCCUUUGUGCAUUUUACAUACCGUUCCUUUUCCCCUCCUCUCAUCAGAAUGCUGUUUGUAAAAGUCAUUAUCCCAUCUGCGCCGCCAGUUUGGACAAAACAGCCCAAGACGAAUCCAGCACGUUCCUCCAUUCCGGGACAGUUUGGGAGUUGAGGAUGACGGUGAUGAUGGAGGGCUGCAGGGGUUUGGGUAUCUCGCCUCUGAAACGCACAGGCCACCUGUAAACCGUCUCGCUCGCUGCUCCGGGGCGGCAACAGGAGUUUUGCAAGUAAGAUUUCAUCCUUUGGAAGGCGGCUUAAGAAAGAAUGAGCCUCUUUCACACACAGGUUGAAAUAAUCUGCUUCUCGUCGAGUCUUUCCCCCAAAGGCAGGCCGGCAAUGGCUGGCCUAUUAUUGCUGUGAAAAGGCGUUAGAGUCCUGAAUAUUCAUCAGGGAGAUGGAGGGGGCAUAGAGAGGGGCUCCAAAAUCCCACCGCACCGAUGGUCAGCUAAUGUACCAGGACACAGAAUGAAAGCAAAACAAAGUGGACUAGGGAAAGAUGGCGAGCAAGACAAAGGGAAUGUUUUGAGUGAUUUGGCAUGAGUUUUGCUGCACCCGGGCUGCUGGAUUGAAGUUAAUAAGCGUGCGAGAGUCCCGACGAGUCCCGACUCUUACCGUCUCCCCCCGUCCAGGCUGGAUCUCCAGAUGAGUCCUCCACGGCCCACACACACCAGAGACGAAUCUGGAUCCUCCACUGGAGCCACUGCACCUGUUGUUUUCAGGAGUCGGAGAAAGAUAGACACUCAUGCUCGGAGACCGUAUGGAAGAAUGAGAACAGGCAAUGUGUUUUGUUACUAAAGCCAAAAAAAAAAAAAAAAAAUGUUUGGUUCAAAUAUUUAGUCAAGAAUAAAAA
Rhinichthys klamathensis goyatoka is the source of this 1162-nucleotide long non-coding RNA. RefSeq lists it as uncharacterized. The record is from RefSeq and is a predicted model, not a curated record. Lineage: Eukaryota; Metazoa; Chordata; Actinopteri; Cypriniformes; Leuciscidae. The transcript is spliced from 2 exons.